Molecule: long non-coding RNA, 350 nt
Organism: Thalassophryne amazonica
Lineage: Eukaryota; Metazoa; Chordata; Actinopteri; Batrachoidiformes; Batrachoididae
Exons: 4
Source: RefSeq, a predicted model, not a curated record
GAGGACAUCUCCACAUCCGCGAACCAUCUGUAGCUCCUCGUGCUCACGUCCUCAAGUUCUCUAACGAUUAUGUUAAAUAAAGUCCAUACGUCCUGCUCACAGACUGCCAGAGACAGGACAUGUCCACAUGCAGUAUACUCCUCACAGAGGACAUCUCCUCCAUGUUUACUCACGAACUGUUUGCACGCACGUGCGCAUGAACGCUGGCUGCAGCUCCGGUCACAGGAAGAAUGAUAAAUUUUAACAGAAAUCAGAGCGCACAUCUGCAGCGCUACACAAGAAGAAAUAUCAACUAGAAGAGAAAUCAGAGCACACACCUGCUCAUUUUACAGUCUGGCUGCAGGUGUGCU